Molecule: ribosomal RNA, 447 nt
Filed under: uncultured bacterium
Lineage: Bacteria
Description: partial 16S ribosomal RNA
Rfam family: Bacterial small subunit ribosomal RNA
Source: RNAcentral
AACGAACGCUGGCGGCAGGCCUAACACAUGCAAGUCGAACGCUCCGCAAGGAGAGUGGCAGACGGGUGAGUAACGCGUGGGAACGUGCCCUUUGGUUCGGAAUAUUCCCGGGAAACUGGGAGCAAUAUCGGAUAAGCCCUUCGGGGGAAAGAUUUAUCGCCAAAGGAUCGGCCCGCGUCAGAUUAGCUAGUUGGUGAGGUAAUGGCUCACCAAGGCUACGAUCUGUAGCUGGUCUGAGAGGAUGAUCAGCCACACUGGGACUGAGACACGGCCCAGACUCUUACGGGAGGCAGCAGUGGGGAAUCUUGGACAAUGGGCGCAAGCCUGAUCCAGCCAUGCCGCGUGGAUGAUGAAGGCCCUAGGGUUGUAAAAUCCUUUCGACGGGGAAGAUAAUGACGGUACCCGUAGAAGAAGCUCCGGCUAACUUCGUGCCAGCCGCCGCAGUAA